This 388-nucleotide ribosomal RNA is filed under the name uncultured bacterium. Its description in RNAcentral is "bacterial SSU rRNA". It matches the Rfam family "Bacterial small subunit ribosomal RNA", at positions 30 to 413 of the family's 1533-position model. The record is from RNAcentral.
AUUGAACGCUGGCGGCAUGCCUUACACAUGCAAGUCGAACGGCAGCACGGGAGCUUGCUCCUGGUGGCGAGUGGCGAACGGGUGAGUAAUACAUCGGAACGUACCCUGAAGUGGGGGAUAACGUAGCGAAAGUUACGCUAAUACCGCAUAUUCUGUGAGCAGGAAAGAGGGGGAUCGCAAGACCUCUUGCUUUAGGAGCGGCCGAUGUCGGAUUAGCUAGUUGGUGAGGUUAAAGGCUUCACCAAGGCGACGAUCCGUAGCGGGUCUGAGAGGAUGAUCCGCCACACUGGGACUGAGACACGGCCCCAGACUCCUACGGGAGGCAGCAGUGGGGAAUUUUGGACAAUGGGCGCAAGCCUGAUCCAGCCAUGCCGCGUGAGUGAACGAA